GGGCACAUUUCCCUUUCAGCAUCUCCGACCACCUCCGCCCGUGGAGCUGUAGAGCCGCUCCGCACAGUUCUGGGUCUGCGCCGCAGACAUCUACACCAUCUACGAGCUACGAGCGGGGUUCUUCAAGGAUGAUGGCGAGGAGGAGGCCAUGUGAGAGAAGCAACACGAGCUCCGCGCCCAGAAGGUGUACUCCCUCUACUUUGAGCUUGGCGGAAUCUUUAUCAAUGUUGGCGUGCUUUGUUUUCUCUUUUUUUUGUGCUUUCCUCCCCUUCGAUUUCCUCCACCCUCGAUCGUUUAUCUUUCUCAUGAUUGGCAGAAGCUGCAAUUAUAUUGUGCUGAUUAAUGUGAUGUGCUUGGCCGCUUAGGGUGCAUUUGAAUCAUCGGAUUAUGGUAUAAUGUCUCUUCCUUGAUUGGAGUGUAUGUAACAUUGGAUCAGUGGAUUUCGAACAGGCCGCUCAAAUUCUGGGAAAACCUGAUUUGGCACCUACGGCUUGAGUGAAGAGACUCAUCGCGCUUUGCGAUAAGGCCCCAGCCACACCAUUUGAUGUGGUUAGAGAUGUGGAGAAACAGUUCGGAAAGAAUUUUUUUGAAUUCUUCGAUGUUGUGCUUGUCGGGUCUGCUUGUACUGCAUACGUUUGUGAUUAGGUACUUCUCUUUAUCUGUUAAAUCUGGGGGUUCUUAACAUAUUUGCUUUCUACCGUUCCUAUCAGUGUUAGGCCUGUGCAACCCAUUUUCUGCUUUCUAACAUAACAUUGCAUACUUGUCUGGAACAGAUCACUUAGGGUGUGUUUGGUUUAAGGAAUCACUACAUCCAAAUUGAGGUGGUGCAUCAUGGAUUCAUUCCUCAAAUUUGGUGGGAUGACCACAUUCCUCAUAUUAGUACUAACUAACUAACUAUGAGGAAUGAGGUGGUGAUGGAUUAACUCAUUCCAUUCCACAAACCAAACAAAAAUAGUGAGGAAUGAGAAGAUGAUGGACUACCUUAUUCCUCAAACCAAACACCCUAUUAUUUUCUCACUUGAUCUCUUGCAUAAUUUCUCAAUUAAAACUUUGCUUCCUAUUUCUUGUUAGGUGCAUCGAACAAGGCUUAAACUUUCAAAGUCAAAUGUCAUUCUCUAAUGCAUUUAUGGAUUCUGUGAACAACUGUUUGAAAUAUUAGAUUUGUUUUGAUGUGCCACACUGAAUUCGGAAUGGACCAGGUUCAACAUCCAGGAGCUGAACAUCUGAUGACGGUUGAUAUCCGGAACAUGCAAGCAAUGGUCUUGUUUCCGUGUUCGAUGCUGCAAUGGCCAGAUUUUCUUUACCAAGCUAGGUUUCCAUCAUCAUACUAUUCAACAUUAUAUUAAGACCAAAAAGGAACAUGGUUCGCCUUGUCAGCCAACUGAACUAGGCUCAGUUCAUUGAAUUAAUCAUGAAACGUAGUGUCCUUUUACUUCAUACUAACUAGCCUUGUCAUUUGAACAAAUAACCUUAGUUGGUAGCUAAAAGUGAUUACACCAAAGAUACGCUUCACCCUUUUUUAGCCAAGCAGCCUUUCAAAAUGCAUAUGAAUUUGAGAUCAUUAUUCUUGUCAAUAAGUAUUUCUUUGUUAGGCUAUUACACUGGUUAUGCUUAUUUUAGAAAUAUAAAGUUGAUGUGCAUGGUUGGAGAGGAAUACGAUAGUGGAAGUUCUCGGGAUUGGGCUGCCAAGGGACCAAUGUUAUGGGUAGAUGCAGUGGCGGAGCUCUAUAAUUUUGACGCCCCAGACCACUUUUAAGAAGCCCUCCAAGAUAUUAUGCAACAAAAUAUACCGCUAAAACAUAUUAUACCAUAAGCAUAGAUUAAAAUACUCCCUCUGUUUUAAAAUAGUAGUGGUUUUAGAGAAUUAGUGAGUUCAUAAUAUAGACAUAAAAAUUCAGAGCUAAAACAACUACUAUUUUAAAACUAAGGGAGUAGUAUUUGUCUCAAUUCAGCACCUAAAAAUAUAACAAACUUAAUAAAAAGAGAGGAGAAGAGAAUAAUCAACAUAUAAGUGAAAGGGGAAAACCGAGGAGAAGAGAACACUUACAAACCAGUGGGACAAUAAAAUGGCUAGCGUUGUCUGCUGUCAUGCUGUGGACUGUCGGCCUUAGAGAGAUGGAAUCUUCAGUCUUGUGCUAGGGACAGUAGGACAAGGAGAGGAAGCCACCAAGCCGAUUAAGUCUGCCACUCUAUCGUCUAGAUUAUGGAACAGUGGGUGGCUCUCUGGCUGACCGGUGGAAGGCGAAGUCGGAGGUUGGAGGAGCUGCUGACCGCCACGGUGGAGCCGAGCCCGUUCAGGUUGUGAACACACAUCUGCAGAGAUAAAAAAGGAGUGGCAUCAAUGGCAGCCACAGAUUGGGGCAUGAAGUGUAACCACUAUGAGAUCAACGUGUUGUUUUUUCAUGUUUAAUAAUUUGAGUUAUAAUAUAUGGUUUGCUUAUAAUGUUUUUAAAAUUUUUUAUUUUGGCGAUGCAGGGGACAUAACUCCUCCAACAGGGAUUAGGCAGGCUAUGGAGAUGCAGGCUGAAGUAGAAAGGAGAAAAUGCGCCCAAGUCCUUGAAUCAGAAGGGAAGAAACAAACCGUGCGAUAAUUUUAGUAAGUUUUUUCUCAUAGAUUCUUCCAACUUUACUGCAUCACCGCCGAGAACACCAUCACCAUUUCUGAAUUCCUUCAUUUACCUUAGAAUUCAAUAUAUUCUUGAGUGCAACGGACAUGUUCUAUUCUGUGGAAUACCUAGAGGACCAUGUUUAGUUGAUUCUUGUAAAACUAUGGGCACAUUUGUCUCCAUUCCCUUCAUGUAUGUUGUGGGAGAUCUUUUCUCUCCUUGCUGUAGAACAUCAAUAAAGUUGGCUUGGUAUAUUGUUCA
Zea mays is the source of this 2867-nucleotide long non-coding RNA. RefSeq lists it as uncharacterized. The record is from RefSeq and is a predicted model, not a curated record. NCBI's taxonomy places the organism in Eukaryota, Viridiplantae, Streptophyta, Magnoliopsida, Poales, Poaceae. The transcript is spliced from 2 exons.